UACAGAGGGUGCGAGCGUUAUUCGGAAUUACUGGGCGUAAAGCGCACGUAGGCGGCUUGGUAUGUCGGGUGUGAAAUCCCCGGGCUCAACCUGGGAACUGCAUCCGAAACUGCCUUGCUAGAGUAUGGGAGAGGGAAGUGGAAUUUCCGGUGUAGCGGUGAAAUGCGUAGAUAUCAGAAGGAACAUCAGUGGCGAAGGCGACUUCCUGGACCAAUACUGACGCUCAGGUGCGAAAGCGUGGGGAGCAAACAGG
Molecule: ribosomal RNA, 253 nt
Filed under: uncultured bacterium
Lineage: Bacteria
Description: partial 16S ribosomal RNA
Rfam family: Bacterial small subunit ribosomal RNA
Source: RNAcentral